GUAGGUGGCAAGCGUUGUCCGGAAUUAUUGGGCGUAAAGCGCGCGCAGGCGGUCCUUUAAAUCUGAUGUGAAAGCCCACGGCUCAACCGUGGAGGGUCAUUGGAAACUGGGGGACUUGAGUACAGAAGAGGAAAGCGGAAUUCCAAGUGUAGCGGUGAAAUGCGUAGAGAUUUGGAGGAACACCAGUGGCGAAGGCGGCUUUCUGGUCUGUAACUGACGCUGAGGCGCGAAAGCGUGGGGAGCAAACAGGAUUAGAUACCCUGGUAGUCCACGCCGUAAACGAUGAGUGCUAAGUGUUAGGGGGUUUCCCGCCCCCCUUAGUGCUGCAGCUAACGCAUUAAGCACUCCGCCUGGGGAGUACGGCCGCAAGGCUG
RNAcentral lists this ribosomal RNA (374 nucleotides) under uncultured organism. RNAcentral's name for it is "partial 16S ribosomal RNA". It matches the Rfam family "Bacterial small subunit ribosomal RNA", at positions 527 to 896 of the family's 1533-position model. The record is from RNAcentral.